AGCAGCCGCGGUAAUUCCAGCUCCAAUAGCGUAUAUUAAAGUUGUUGCAGUUAAAAGCUCGUAGUUGAAUUUCGGGAUCAAAGGAUCGGUCAUGCCUUGGUAUGUACUGGUUUUAUUGGUUCUCACCUUCUAAAGAACCAUAAUGUCAUUCAUUUGAUGUUAUGGGGAAUUAGGACUGUUACUUUGAAAAAUUGAGUGUUUAAAGCAGGCUCACGCUUGAAUACAUUAGCAUGAAUAAUGAAAUAGGACGUUUGAUUCUAUUUUGUUGGUUUCUAGGAUCGACGUAAUGAUUAAUAGGGAUAGUUGGGGGCAUUAGUAUUCAAUUGUCAGAGGUGAAAUUCUUGGAUUUAUUGAAGACUAACUACUGCGAAAGCAUUUGCCAAGGAUGUUUUCAUUAAUCAAGAACGAAAGUUAGGGAUCGAAGACGAUCAGA
This 433-nucleotide unclassified non-coding RNA is filed under the name uncultured Glomus. RNAcentral describes it as "SSU rRNA". It matches the Rfam family "Eukaryotic small subunit ribosomal RNA", at positions 569 to 1012 of the family's 1831-position model. Lineage: Eukaryota; Fungi; Glomeromycota; Glomeromycetes; Glomerales; Glomeraceae. The record is from RNAcentral.